RNAcentral lists this ribosomal RNA (460 nucleotides) under uncultured bacterium. RNAcentral describes it as "partial 16S ribosomal RNA". It matches the Rfam family "Bacterial small subunit ribosomal RNA", at positions 338 to 795 of the family's 1533-position model. The record is from RNAcentral.
CCUACGGGAGGCAGCAGUGAGGAAUAUUGGUCAAUGGGCGCGAGCCUGAACCAGCCAAGUAGCGUGAAGGAUGACUGCCCUACGGGUUGUAAACUUCUUUUAUACAGGAAUAACGUGCGGCACGUGUGCCUUUUUGUCUGUACUUUAUGAAUAAGGACCGGCUAACUCCGUGACAGCAGCCGCGGUAAUACGGAGGAUCCGGGCGUUAUCCGGAUUUAUUGGGUUUAAAGGGAGCGUAGUAGGGGUGUUAAGUCAGGUGUGAAAGUGUGCGGCUCAACCGUAAAAUUGCAGUGGAUACUGGCAGUCUUGAGUGCAGUUGAGGUAGGCGGAAUUCGUGGUGUAGCGGUGAAAUGCUUAGAUAUCACGAAGAACUCCGAUUGCGAAGGCAGCUUACGAAACUGCCACUGACGUUGAUGCUCGAAAGUGUGGGUAUCAAACAGGAGUAGAUACCCCAGUAGUC